Molecule: long non-coding RNA, 457 nt
Organism: Bos taurus (domestic cattle)
Lineage: Eukaryota; Metazoa; Chordata; Mammalia; Artiodactyla; Bovidae
Source: Ensembl
AGUGCGGCGCGGCGGGCACGGGGAGAGCGCUGCGCCUUGGAGGGCUGCCCGCAACCACGUCGGGACCCACAACAAAGUUAAAACGCUGCGAUUCACGCACCUUACCGGCUUUCCUCUGCGUCUCCUCGGGCGCGGGAUGCAAAGUGGCACAGUGGCGGGCUGGGGGGCCCCCCGGGAGGAGACUGGAGAUGGGUUUGGUGGCUCGCCUUUUUCACUCUACGCGCCUCCACGGACUGAGCCGCGUCCCUCGGCACCCCCAGCAUUUCCCAGAGAGCAACACCACCACCCGGAGAUCAAUGACCAGCCUGUUUAUUCUUCACGCGCCUGGAAGGGCAACAGAACUUCCAACCAUUUAUGGUUAUUGAAACCACAUGGCCUUAAGACUAACCCAUGAUCAUUAUAGAGCAACAGCAUAGCUGAUCAAAAACCUCCAGUGGAAUGUUUGUUUGUGUUGGGC